CUCAUAACAAAUAUUUAGAUCCCGACAAGCGGAAUGUACACACUUAUUAAAAAGUAAAUUUCAUUUAUUGCUCGCCGAGAGCCGCUGUGCGCCAGCAACGGCAAACAAAUAAACCAGCUGUAACAACAGAAAGCUUUGCACAAUCAAGAGCGGAGCAGAACAUUUAAUUUUCCACCCGUUGUGUCUUUGUUUUCCAAUCCCGUGCUGCGAUUGCCACUGCCACUGCUACUGCCACUGUCACUGUCUCCGACCCGACCCGACCCGAGCCGACCCCGGCGCCGCCACAAAGUCACAUUGACCGUCAAACUGUAAUCAAAUGAUAAAUGCUGAGCAGGAAGCCCGGCUCGUCCUCGUUCUCGUGCUGUGGACUGGACUGGUCUGGUCUGGUCUGGUGCUCGGCCAGGAUAUGCAGCCGAGCUCGACCGCGACCGGACCGGAUUGGGACCGCAGGACACUGCCACAGCGGCAGCCGCAGCCGCAGAGUUGUUGAACAAAUGACAACAAAAACGGGCGAGGGCACGGACGCUGGAACGGCGGCAACUGCCCACAAGACGAUUAUCACAGGUUGCCAAGGACAUGGGCGGUCCCCCAACCGCAGCACAAUUCCUCUUAAGGAUGCCACAGAAAAGUCGGGGCACUAUUUGUGCCCUUCCCUUUCUGGCUGGGACUGGGAUUGACUAACACUGAGGCUCUGUUCGCGUUUCUUUCGGUUUUAUGGCCCACGGAAGGCGACAGCACAGGGAAAAGCGAAAUGCGAAAAACAGUGGCAGAGGCAGUAAAACGAAAUGAAAGCAG
Molecule: long non-coding RNA, 795 nt
Organism: Drosophila pseudoobscura
Lineage: Eukaryota; Metazoa; Arthropoda; Insecta; Diptera; Drosophilidae
Exons: 2
Source: RefSeq, a predicted model, not a curated record